Molecule: ribosomal RNA, 398 nt
Filed under: uncultured bacterium
Lineage: Bacteria
Description: partial 16S ribosomal RNA
Rfam family: Bacterial small subunit ribosomal RNA
Source: RNAcentral
AUACGUAGGGUGCGAGCGUUGUCCGGAAUUACUGGGCGUAAAGAGCUCGUAGGUGGUUUGUCGCGUCGUCUGUGAAAUUCCGGGGCUUAACUCCGGGCGUGCAGGCGAUACGGGCAUAACUUGAGUACUGUAGGGGAGACUGGAAUUCCUGGUGUAGCGGUGAAAUGCGCAGAUAUCAGGAGGAACACCGGUGGCGAAGGCGGGUCUCUGGGCAGUAACUGACGCUGAGGAGCGAAAGCAUGGGUAGCGAACAGGAUUAGAGACCCUGGUAGUCCAUGCUGUAAACGGUGGGCGCUAGGUGUAGGGGUCUUCCACGACUUCUGUGCCGUAGCUAACGCAUUAAGCGCCCCGCCUGGGGAGUACGGCCGCAAGGCUAAAACUCAAAGGAAUUGACGGGG